CUACGGGACGCAGCAGUGAGGAAUUUUGCGCAAUGGGGGAAACCCUGACGCAGCAACGCCGCGUGAGCGAAGAAGGCCCUCGGGUCGUAAAGCUCUGUCAAGUGGGAAAAAAAUCUUUUAAUCAAUAGUUAAAAGACUUGAUGGUACCACUGGAGGAAGCACCGGCUAACUCCGUGCCAGCAGCCGCGGUAAUACGGAGGGUGCAAGCGUUGUUCGGAAUUACUGGGCGUAAAGAGCGUGUAGGCGGUUUGGCAAGUCAGAUGUGAAAGCCCCGGGCUUAACCUGGGAAGUGCAUUUGAAACUGGUUGACUAGAGUAUGGGAGAGGAGAUUGGAAUUCCUGGUGUAGAGGUGAAAUUCGUAGAUAUCAGGAGGAACACCCGUGGCGAAGGCGAUUCUCUGGACCAAUACUGACGCUGAGACGCGAAAGCGUGGGGAGCAAACAGGAUUAGAUACCCUGGUAGUC
Molecule: ribosomal RNA, 464 nt
Filed under: uncultured bacterium
Lineage: Bacteria
Description: partial 16S ribosomal RNA
Rfam family: Bacterial small subunit ribosomal RNA
Source: RNAcentral